Molecule: non-coding RNA, 70 nt
Organism: Podarcis lilfordi (Lilford's wall lizard)
Lineage: Eukaryota; Metazoa; Chordata; Lepidosauria; Squamata; Lacertidae
Source: the annotation of a GenBank genome assembly
AAAUAACUCAGUAGAGCAUGAGACUCUUAAUCUCAGGGUUGUGGGUUCAAGCCCCACAUGGGGUGAAAUA